Molecule: ribosomal RNA, 980 nt
Filed under: Saccharomycetales sp. LM46
Lineage: Eukaryota; Fungi; Ascomycota; Saccharomycetes; Saccharomycetales
Description: eukaryotic LSU rRNA
Rfam family: Eukaryotic small subunit ribosomal RNA (bases 1-358)
Source: RNAcentral
UUAACGUCUGGGCCGCACGCGCGCUACACUGACGGAGCCAGCGAGUAUAAACCUUGGCCGAGAGGUCUGGGAAAUCUUGUGAAACUCCGUCGUGCUGGGGAUAGAGCAUUGUAAUUAUUGCUCUUCAACGAGGAAUUCCUAGUAAGCGCAAGUCAUCAGCUUGCGUUGAUUACGUCCCUGCCCUUUGUACACACCGCCCGUCGCUACUACCGAUUGAAUGGCUUAGUGAGGCUUCCGGAUUGGUUUAGAGAAGGGGGCAACUCCAUCUUGGAACCGAGAAGCUAGUCAAACUUGGUCAUUUAGAGGAAGUAAAAGUCGUAACAAGGUUUCCGUAGGUGAACCUGCGGAAGGAUCAUUACAGAAUGAAAAGUGCUUAACUGCAUUUUUUCUUACACAUGUGUUUUUCUUUUUUUGAAAACUUUGCUUUGGUAGGCCUUCUAUAUGGGGCCUGCCAGAGAUUAAACUCAACCAAAUUUUAUUUAAUGUCAACCGAUUAUUUAAUAGUCAAAACUUUCAACAACGGAUCUCUUGGUUCUCGCAUCGAUGAAGAACGCAGCGAAAUGCGAUAAGUAAUAUGAAUUGCAGAUAUUCGUGAAUCAUCGAAUCUUUGAACGCACAUUGCGCCCUUUGGUAUUCCAAAGGGCAUGCCUGUUUGAGCGUCAUUUCUCCCUCAAACCCUCGGGUUUGGUGUUGAGCGAUACGCUGGGUUUGCUUGAAAGAAAGGCGGAGUAUAAACUAAUGGAUAGGUUUUUUCCACUCAUUGGUACAAACUCCAAAACUUCUUCCAAAUUCGACCUCAAAUCAGGUAGGACUACCCCGCUGAACUUAACAUAUCAAUAACGGAGGAAAAGAACCCACAGGGAUGCCUUAAUACCGCGAGUGAACCGGCCAAACUCAAAUUUGAAAUCUGGCCCUUUCAUGGCCCAAUUGUAAUUUGAAAAAGGAUCUUGGGUCUGGCCCUUGCCAUGUUUUUUGGAAAA